Molecule: long non-coding RNA, 452 nt
Organism: Trachemys scripta elegans
Lineage: Eukaryota; Metazoa; Chordata; Testudines; Emydidae
Exons: 2
Source: RefSeq, a predicted model, not a curated record
ACUUCCCCACAAAUAAUUUCUAGAGCCUAUGGCCUGUGUUACACUGGAGGUCAGUCUAGAUGAUCACCAUGAUCCCACUGGGCCUUGGAAUUUAUGAAUCUAGGUUUGUUGAGACCUGGUCCAUUAUAGUACUUUUGCUUGGCUUUCUUAAUUGUUCAUGCUAGCUUUUACUGUGGCUAAUAUUAAACAUUGUUAAAAAAAAAAGAGGGGGGGUAUAUUCUGUUGAUAGUAAUGGAAGUUAACAUAUGUGUAGCAAGAGCAUUGGUAAACCCCUUCGGAGUUCACCUUUAGUAUGUUGCUGGUACAGGAGUAAUGAUGGAACAAUAGGACAGAGGUGUGACUGUAACUGUAGGAUUUAUUAUGACUUUACUGUAGCAAUUAAAACCAUUUCUCUCCCUUUGAAAAUGAUGGUUCUUGAAAGGGCCAGGAGACUUUUUAUUAAAAAAAAAAAA